This is an unclassified non-coding RNA of Myotis lucifugus (little brown bat), 330 nucleotides long. Its record names the gene 7SK. It matches the Rfam family "7SK RNA". Rfam says of the family: 7SK was discovered as an abundant small nuclear RNA in the mid-70s but a possible function has only recently been suggested. Two independent studies have found that 7SK RNA binds the CDK9/cyclin T complex (known as elongation factor P-TEFb). The record is from Ensembl. Lineage: Eukaryota; Metazoa; Chordata; Mammalia; Chiroptera; Vespertilionidae.
GGAUGUGAGGGCGAUCUGGCUGCGACAUCUGUCACCCCAUUGAUCGCCAGGGUUGAUUCGGCUGAUCUGGCUGGCUAGGCAGGUGUCCCCUUCCUCCCUCACCGAUCCAUGUGCGUCCCUCCCGAAGCUGCGCGCUCAGUCGAAGAGGACGACCUUCCCCCCCGAGGAGAGGACCGGUCUUCGGUCAAGGGUAUACGAGUAGCUGCGCUCCCCUGCUAGAACCUCCAAACAAGCUAAAAAAACUCGUUAGUCUGGACACUCAUAAGUCAAGGCCCCACUGUACUUAUAUCUGACAAAUUAGAUCUCAAAGUGAAGGACAUUAAAAGAGAU